Molecule: unclassified non-coding RNA, 377 nt
Filed under: Mycobacteroides immunogenum
Lineage: Bacteria; Bacillati; Actinomycetota; Actinomycetes; Mycobacteriales; Mycobacteriaceae
Description: partial contains 16S-23S intergenic spacer and 23S ribosomal RNA
Source: RNAcentral
AAGGAGCACCAUUUUCCCCGCCGAAUGCGCGUGGGAACAUAAAGCGGGUUUCUGUAGUGGUUUCCUGCUGGGUGAAUAUGUUUGAUAAAUCCUGUCCGCGCUUCUUUGUGAAGGUGGUCAGGUAGUCGGCAAGACGUCGGACUGUCGAAGGAAUUGGAACGCUGGCACACUGUUGGGUCCUGAGGCAACACAUUGUGUUGUCGCCCUGCUUGGUGGUGGGGUGUGGACUUUGACUUCUGAAUAGUGGUUGCGAGCAUCUAAACAAGCCUUGCUCGAUUUUUCGGGUGGGGCUGGUUUUUGCAAUUUUAUUAGCUAAAUUCUUAAGGGCGCAUGGUGAAUGCCUUGGCACUAGAAGCCGAUGAAGGACGUGGGAGGCU